UACAGAGGUCUCAAGCGUUUGUUCGGAUUCAUUGGGCGUAAAGGGUGCGUAGGCGGCGAGGCAAGUCUGGUGUGAAAUCCCGGGGGCUCAACUUCCGGGAACUUGCACUGGAUACUGCUUUGCUAGAGUACUGGGAGAGGGAACUGGAAUUUACGGUGUAGCGGUGAAAUGCGUAGAUAUCGUAAGGAAGACCAGUGGCGAAGGCGGGGUCUCUGGACAGUUCCUGACGCUGAGGCACGAAGGCCGGGGGAGCAAACGGGG
RNAcentral lists this ribosomal RNA (261 nucleotides) under uncultured bacterium. Its description in RNAcentral is "partial 16S ribosomal RNA". It matches the Rfam family "Bacterial small subunit ribosomal RNA", at positions 524 to 777 of the family's 1533-position model. The record is from RNAcentral.